CAGCUUCAAAGUCGUCAUGAAAUCUAAACUAAACUGCGAUCUCAGACUGCAACAGGUACUAGCCUAAACCGAUUCGUUCAAAUGUGAGUACUGUCUGUUCCUGUUGGUUGAGAAGUACACGUCAGCAGCCAAGUUGCACGUCAGGUCAACCUACUUGAUGUACUAUCGUUUUCCUCUUCCUGGUUUUAUGUUUGCUGCACAUGGCUCUUUUGUAGUGGGACUUCCAGUCAGAAGAGCAGCAGGCUCCUGCUCAGACAGAAAUGCAACUGGUCAGUAUGCAUUCUACAGUGCCUCUGUAGAAGGUGGCAAGAAUCGGAGGGGGGAGGAUUUGCCUCUCAUAACGUUGGUCCGACUGCCAACUCUUUUCUACCUUCCUCUCGCACCUGCAACCGGCUGACCGAGGAGGCGCAGUUCAUCUCGAGCAAGUCUAAUACUUCACAAGGAACUAACAAACUGAGGGAGUUGAAGUAGCGUGUUAAACAGAUGACCUGAUAAAUAAUCAGGAGGGCGAGAGUCACGUGAGGGAGGUCUAGGGUCAUGUGAUCUGGAGGGGCAUUCUUGGAAAUGGAGUGUGACAACGGAGCCGGAGGAAGCCAUGACACUGUUAUUUAAUUUAAAAAAUAAAGUAAUGUUGACAAAUUGUUUUGGUGAAUACAUACACAGGUCACAAGGGGUACAUUUUCUGAUUUCUCAACACUGAACUAAACUUUCAAAGUAAACUGGCUCAAAACAAUUUCUUGAGAGUCCCAUUUCUAUUUGGAAUUUCAUCCUUCAUCUUAUUUUCACCAAAUAAAGUGAUGUUGGUUUUCUCUUGAUGUGUAAUUAAGAC
Molecule: long non-coding RNA, 829 nt
Organism: Pygocentrus nattereri (red-bellied piranha)
Lineage: Eukaryota; Metazoa; Chordata; Actinopteri; Characiformes; Serrasalmidae
Source: Ensembl